AUACGGAGGGGGUUAGCGUUGUUCGGAAUUACUGGGCGCAAAGCGCACGUAGGCGGACUGGAAAGUUGGGGGUGAAAUCCCGGGGCUCAACCCCGGAACUGCCUCCAAAACUUCCAAUCUAGAGAUCGAGAGAGGUGAGUGGAAUUCCAAGUGUAGAGGUGAAAUUCGUAGAUAUUUGGAGGAACACCAGUGGCGAAGGCGGCUCACUGGCUCGAUACUGACGCUGAGGUGCGAAAGCGUGGGGAGCAAACAGGAUUAGAUACCCUAGUAGUCC
RNAcentral lists this ribosomal RNA (274 nucleotides) under uncultured bacterium. RNAcentral's name for it is "partial 16S ribosomal RNA". It matches the Rfam family "Bacterial small subunit ribosomal RNA", at positions 523 to 796 of the family's 1533-position model. The record is from RNAcentral.